RNAcentral lists this ribosomal RNA (460 nucleotides) under uncultured bacterium. RNAcentral describes it as "partial 16S ribosomal RNA". It matches the Rfam family "Bacterial small subunit ribosomal RNA", at positions 338 to 795 of the family's 1533-position model. The record is from RNAcentral.
CCUACGGGGUGCAGCAGUGAGGAAUAUUGGUCAAUGGGCGCUAGCCUGAACCAGCCAAGUAGCGUGAAGGAUGACUGCCCUAUGGGUUGUAAACUUCUUUUAUAUGGUAAUAAAUUGCAGUAUGUAUACUGCUUUGCAUGUACCUUAUGAAUAAGGAUCGGCUAACUCCGUGCCAGCAGCAGCGGUAAUACGGCGGAUCCGAGCGUUGUCCGGAUUUAUUGGGUUUAAAGGGAGCGUAGGCGGGUUGUUAAGUCAGUUGUGAAAGUUUGCGGAUCAACCGGAAAAUUGCAGUUGAUACUGGCAUCCUUGAGUACAGGAGAGGUAGGCGGAAUUCGUGGUGUAGCGGUGAAAUGCGUAGAGAGCACGAAGAACUCCGAUGGCGAAGGCAGCCCGCUGGACUGUAACUGACGCUGAGGCUCGAAAGUGUGGGUAUCAAACAGGAUUAGAUACCCUGGUAGUC